This 334-nucleotide ribosomal RNA is filed under the name uncultured soil bacterium. Its description in RNAcentral is "bacterial SSU rRNA". It matches the Rfam family "Bacterial small subunit ribosomal RNA", at positions 26 to 363 of the family's 1533-position model. The record is from RNAcentral.
AGGACGAACGCUGGCGGCGUGCUUAACACAUGCAGGUCGAGCGGUAAGGCCUUUCGGGGUACACGAGCGGCGAACGGGUGAGUAACACGUGGGUGAUCUGCCCUGCACUCUGGGAUAAGCCUGGGAAACUGGGUCUAAUACCGGAUAUGACCUGCUCUCGCAUGGGGGGUGGGUGGAAAGAUUUAUCGGUGCAGGAUGGGCCCGCGGCCUAUCAGCUUGUUGGUGGGGUAAUGGCCUACCAAGGCGACGACGGGUAGCCGACCUGAGAGGGUGACCGGCCACGACUGGGACUGAGACACGGCCCAGACUCCUAUGGGAGCAGCAGUGGGGAAUA